GAUGAACGCUAGCGGCAGGCUUAACACAUGCAAGUCGAGGGGUAGAGUUAGCUUGCUAACUUGAGACCGGCGCACGGGUGCGUAACGCGUAUGCAAUCUACCUUGUACAGAGGGAUAACCCAGAGAAAUUUGGAUUAAUACCUCAUAGUAUUAUUGAAUGGCAUCAUUUGAUUAUUAAAGUUCCAACGGUACAAGAUGAGCAUGCGUCCCAUUAGCUAGAUGGUAAGGUAACGGCUUACCAUGGCAACGAUGGGUAGGGGUCCUGAGAGGGAGAUCCCCCACACUGGUACUGAGACACGGACCAGACUCCUACGGGAGGCAGCAGUGAGGAAUAUUGGUCAAUGGGCGCAAGCCUGAACCAGCCAUGCCGCGUGCAGGAAGACGGCCCUAUGGAUUGUAAACUGCUUUUAUACGGGAAGAAACCCUGCUACGUGUAGCAGCUUGACGGUACCGUAAGAAUAAGCAUCGGCUAACUCCGUGCCAGCCGCCGCUGUAA
This 496-nucleotide ribosomal RNA is filed under the name uncultured bacterium. RNAcentral describes it as "partial 16S ribosomal RNA". It matches the Rfam family "Bacterial small subunit ribosomal RNA", at positions 28 to 523 of the family's 1533-position model. The record is from RNAcentral.